This 451-nucleotide ribosomal RNA is filed under the name uncultured bacterium. RNAcentral describes it as "partial 16S ribosomal RNA". It matches the Rfam family "Bacterial small subunit ribosomal RNA", at positions 354 to 796 of the family's 1533-position model. The record is from RNAcentral.
GUGGGGAAUAUUGGACAAUGGGGGGAACCCUGAUCCAGCCAUGCCGCGUGUGUGAAGAAGGCCUUUUGGUUGUAAAGCACUUUAAGCGAGGAGGAGGCUACCGAGAUUAAUACUCUUGGAUAGUGGACGUUACUCGCAGAAUAAGCACCGGCUAACUCUGUGCCAGCAGCCGCGGUAAUACAGAGGGUGCAAGCGUUAAUCGGAUUUACUGGGCGUAAAGAGCGAGUAGGUGGCCAAUUAAGUCAAAUGUGAAAUCCCCGAGCUUAACUUGGGAAUUGCAUUCGAUACUGGUUGGCUAGAGUAUGGGAGAGGAUGGUAGAAUUCCAGGUGUAGCGGUGAAAUGCGUAGAGAUCUGGAGGAAUACCGAUGGCGAAGGCAGCCAUCUGGCCUAAUACUGACACUGAGGUGCGAAAGCAUGGGGAGCAAACAGGAUUAGAUACCCCGGUAGUCC